This 478-nucleotide ribosomal RNA is filed under the name uncultured bacterium. RNAcentral describes it as "partial 16S ribosomal RNA". It matches the Rfam family "Bacterial small subunit ribosomal RNA", at positions 28 to 523 of the family's 1533-position model. The record is from RNAcentral.
GACGAACGCUGGCGGCGUGCUUAACACAUGCAAGUCGAACGGUAAGGCCCUUCGGGGUACACGAGUGGCGAACGGGUGAGUAACACGUGGGUGAUCUGCCCUGCACUCCGGGAUAAGCCUGGGAAACUGGGUCUAAUACCGGAUAGGACCACUGCCUGCAUGGGUGGUGGUGGAAAGCUUUUGCGGUGUGGGAUGGGCCCGCGGCCUAUCAGCUUGUUGGUGGGGUGAUGGCCUACCAAGGCGACGACGGGUAGCCGGCCUGCGAGUGUGACCGGCCACACUGGGACUGAGAUACGGCCCAGACUCCUACGGGAGGCAGCAGUGGGGAAUAUUGCACAAUGGGCGCAAGCCUGAUGCAGCGACGCCGCGUGAGGGAUGACGGCCUUCGGGUUGUAAACCUCUUUCAGCACCGACGAAGCGCAAGUGACGGUAGGUGCAGAAGAAGGACCGGCCAACUACGUGCCAGCAGCCGCCGCAG